AUGGGUAUAUAUUUCCCCCUGACUCGUGCACGGACAGUCGACCACCAGGUCGGCAAAGCACCCAGAUCAGAUCAAGACGUGAGGAUCAGUUCUUUAAGGAUCAAAAAUGCGGAUCAAGAAGACCAAGUCAAGCCAGAGAAGCAAGAUAUCACUAAGGAAAGAACCUCCCUUGCCGGGCAGGCGAGCCUGGCAAGGUUGGUGUUGCCCUGGAAGCAAGCCUCCAGGAUUGCCCCGGCAGGCCUGCCGGGGCUCGCGGAGACAAAACACCCCACCGCACCACCUCACCACAACGACCUGCCGGGGCUCGCGGAGACAAACCACCCCACCUCACCACCUCACCGCGACGCACGUCGUCGAUCAGUGCGGUGUCAAGCUCCUAAGUGA
RNAcentral lists this ribosomal RNA (384 nucleotides) under Triticum aestivum (bread wheat). RNAcentral's name for it is "partial small subunit ribosomal RNA". The record is from RNAcentral. Lineage: Eukaryota; Viridiplantae; Streptophyta; Magnoliopsida; Poales; Poaceae.